This 497-nucleotide ribosomal RNA is filed under the name uncultured bacterium. RNAcentral's name for it is "partial 16S ribosomal RNA". It matches the Rfam family "Bacterial small subunit ribosomal RNA", at positions 28 to 507 of the family's 1533-position model. The record is from RNAcentral.
GAUGAACGCUGGCGGCGUGCCUAAUACAUGCAAGUCGAGCGAACAGGCGAGGAGCUUGCUCCUUUGAUGUUAGCGGCGGACGGGUGAGUAACACGUAGGUAACCUACCUAUAAGACUGGGAUAACUUCGGGAAACCGGAGCUAAUACCGGAUAAUAUUUCGAACCGCAUGGUUCGAUAGUGAAAGAUGGCUUUGCUAUCACUUAUAGAUGGACCUGCGCCGUAUUAGCUAGUUGGUAAGGUAACGGCUUACCAAGGCAACGAUACGUAGCCGACCUGAGAGGGUGAUCGGCCACACUGGAACUGAGACACGGUCCAGACUCCUACGGGAGGCAGCAGUAGGGAAUCUUCCGCAAUGGGCGAAAGCCUGACGGAGCAACGCCGCGUGAGUGAUGAAGGUCUUCGGAUCGUAAAACUCUGUUAUUAGGGAAGAACAAACGUGUAAGUAACUGUGCACGUCUUGACGGUACCUAAUCAGAAAGCCACGGCUAACUACGUG